GGGGCUGUGGCUCAGGGAUAGACCCUCUGUCUUCCAUGCAGAAGGUUGCGGGUUCAAUCCCCAAUGUCAUGCCCCC
Molecule: transfer RNA, 76 nt
Filed under: Sphaerodactylus townsendi
Lineage: Eukaryota; Metazoa; Chordata; Lepidosauria; Squamata; Sphaerodactylidae
Description: tRNA-Gly
Source: RNAcentral